RNAcentral lists this ribosomal RNA (927 nucleotides) under uncultured Bacteroidota bacterium. RNAcentral describes it as "bacterial SSU rRNA". It matches the Rfam family "Bacterial small subunit ribosomal RNA", at positions 1 to 917 of the family's 1533-position model. Lineage: Bacteria; Pseudomonadati; Bacteroidota. The record is from RNAcentral.
UGGAUCCAGACUUUGAUUCUGGCUCAGGAUGAACGCUAGCUACAGGCUUAACACAUGCAAGUCGAGGGGAAACGAUAUUGGAAGCUUGCUUCCGUUAGGCGUCGACCGGCGCACGGGUGAGUAACGCGUAUCCAACCUGCCCACCACUUGGGGAUAACCUUGCGAAAGUAAGACUAAUACCCAAUGAUAUCUCUAGAAGACAUCUGAAAGGGAUUAAAGAUUUAUCGGUGAUGGAUGGGGAUGCGUCUGAUUAGCUUGUUGGCGGGGUGACGGCCCACCAAGGCGACGAUCAGUAGGGGUUCUGAGAGGAAGGUCCCCCACAUUGGAACUGAGACACGGUCCAAACUCCUACGGGAGGCAGCAGUGAGGAAUAUUGGUCAAUGGGCGAGAGCCUGAACCAGCCAAGUAGCGUGCAGGAUGACGGCCCUAUGGGUUGUAAACUGCUUUUAUAAGGGAAUAAAGUGAGUCUCGUGAGACUUUUUGCAUGUACCUUAUGAAUAAGGACCGGCUAAUUCCGUGCCAGCAGCCGCGGUAAUACGGAAGGUCCGGGCGUUAUCCGGAUUUAUUGGGUUUAAAGGGAGCGUAGGCCGGAGAUUAAGCGUGUUGUGAAAUGUAGACGCUCAACGUCUGCACUGCAGCGCGAACUGGUUUCCUUGAGUACGCACAAAGUGGGCGGAAUUCGUGGUGUAGCGGUGAAAUGCUUAGAUAUCACGAAGAACUCCGAUUGCGAAGGCAGCUCACUGGAGCGCAACUGACGCUGAAGCUCGAAAGUGCGGGUAUCGAACAGGAUUAGAUACCCUGGUAGUCCGCACGGUAAACGAUGGAUGCCCGCUGUUGGUCUGAAUAGGUCAGCGGCCAAGCGAAAGCAUUAAGCAUCCCACCUGGGGAGUACGCCGGCAACGGAGCAAACUCAAAGGAAUUGACGGA